UACGUAGGUGGCAAGCGUUGUCCGGAUUUAUUGGGUUUAAAGGGUGCGUAGGCGGUCUUUUAAGUCAGUGCUGAAAUACUCCAGCUUAACUGGAGGGGUGGCAUUGAUACUGGAAGACUUGAGUGCAGUCGAGGUAGGCGGAAUUGACGGUGUAGCGGUGAAAUGCUUAGAUAUCGUCAAGAACACCGAUAGUGAAGACAGCUUACUAGGCUGCAACUGACGCUGAGGCACGAAAGUGUGGGGAUCAAACAGG
Molecule: ribosomal RNA, 253 nt
Filed under: uncultured bacterium
Lineage: Bacteria
Description: partial 16S ribosomal RNA
Rfam family: Bacterial small subunit ribosomal RNA
Source: RNAcentral